This 433-nucleotide ribosomal RNA is filed under the name uncultured bacterium. Its description in RNAcentral is "partial 16S ribosomal RNA". It matches the Rfam family "Bacterial small subunit ribosomal RNA", at positions 29 to 507 of the family's 1533-position model. The record is from RNAcentral.
AGCGAACGCUGGCGGCAGGCUUAACACAUGCAAGUCGAACGGGCACUUCGGUGCUAGUGGCAGACGGGUGAGUAACACGUGGGAACGUACCUUCCGGUUCGGAAUAAUCCAGGGAAACUUGGACUAAUACCGGAUACGCCCUUCGGGGGAAAGAUUCAUCGCCGAUAGAUCGGCCCGCGUCUGAUUAGCUAGUUGGUGAGGUAAUGGCUCACCAAGGCGACGAUCAGUAGCUGGUCUGAGAGGAUGAUCAGCCACAUUGGGACUGAGACACGGCCCAAACUCCUACGGGAGGCAGCAGUGGGGAAUAUUGGACAAUGGGCGCAAGCCUGAUCCAGCCAUGCCGCGUGAGUGAUGAAGGCCAUAGGGUUGUAAAGCUCUUUUGUCCGGGAAGAUAAUGACUGUACCGGAAGAAUAAGCCCCGGCUAACUUCGUG